AGAGUUGAUCGGAUAGUUACUCUUAAUCCGCUGAAUGUGAAAUUGAGAGAGGAAAGUCCGAGCACCACAGGAUAGAAUGCCUCCUAACAGGAGGAGUUGCAAGUUGCAAUAUGGAAAGUGCAACAGAAAAUAUACCGCUUCGUUUUUUCGAAGUAAGGGUGAAAAGGUAGUGUAAGAGACUACCAGAUUUUGUUGUGAAACAAGAUGCUUGUAAACCCCAUUUGGUGCAAGAUCAAGUAUACCUCAAGAUAUUAUCCGUAUCAUUUGAGAGGAGGGUUGAUUGCGUAAUCUACUUAGAAAUAUUUAGAUAAGAUGAAUGACUAUCAAUUACAGAACUCGGCUUAUAGAUUGACUCUUUUU
This 360-nucleotide RNase P RNA is filed under the name Fidelibacterota bacterium. RNAcentral describes it as "RNase P RNA component class A". It matches the Rfam family "Bacterial RNase P class A". From Rfam's summary of the family: Ribonuclease P (RNase P) is a ubiquitous endoribonuclease, found in archaea, bacteria and eukarya as well as chloroplasts and mitochondria. Lineage: Bacteria; Pseudomonadati; Fidelibacterota. The record is from RNAcentral.